This 233-nucleotide long non-coding RNA is filed under the name Pan troglodytes (chimpanzee). Its description in RNAcentral is "long non-coding RNA NONPTRT009152". Lineage: Eukaryota; Metazoa; Chordata; Mammalia; Primates; Hominidae. The record is from RNAcentral.
GGUAGCCGGGCUCAGCACUAUCAGGUGUUCUAAACCAAAAAGGCCACCGGAUUUGGGGUGGGAGCAGGGAGAGCCCAGGAAAAUGUGGUUGCUCUUCUGUGCCCACUCCUCCAGUAUCGCUGUGGGUCCGGGCAGUGCAGCCAGUUCUAACACCUGUCUUCUGUCAUCAUGAAUUCAACACCUUAAAUACCAAGUCUUUCCAACGCCCACAACACUCUCCUGUGACCUGAUCC